RNAcentral lists this long non-coding RNA (345 nucleotides) under Capsicum annuum. Its description in RNAcentral is "long non-coding RNA (CANN_LNC013415)". Lineage: Eukaryota; Viridiplantae; Streptophyta; Magnoliopsida; Solanales; Solanaceae. The record is from RNAcentral.
CAGGUUCACCUUCUUUCUUCUCUUCCACCACAGGUGCAGCUUCUUUCUUCUCUUCCACCACAGGUUCAGCUUCUUUCUUCUCUUCCACCACAGGUUCAGCUUCUUUCUUCACUUCCACCACAGGUACAGCUUCUUUCUUCUCAACAGGUUCAGCUUCUUUCUUCGAUUCCACCACAGGUACAGUUUCUUUCUUCUCCUCCACCACAGGUUCAGCUUCUUUCUUCUCUUCCACCACAAGUGCAGUUUCUUUCUUCUCUUCGACCACAGGUGCAGUGAAUUCAUGUUUGUUCAGAGCAUCUCGAACCAAUUCCUUCAACUCAGCUAAAGCCUUCUGUUCAGGAUUUG